Molecule: unclassified non-coding RNA, 1796 nt
Filed under: Pomacea canaliculata
Lineage: Eukaryota; Metazoa; Mollusca; Gastropoda; Architaenioglossa; Ampullariidae
Description: uncharacterized LOC112556641, transcript variant X1
Source: RNAcentral
AUGCGCGGUAUAAAUUAGGAAUGUUUAUUUGGGACACAAGGCCUUAAAAGCGGAGGUCUAGUACUACACGUUGGGUCUUCCCGCUCAUCGCCGAUUUUUUUCAUCUCACACAGACCGUGAGUGACCCAGGUCACAUCAGGACAGGUCAAGGCAGGCGCUGCUGUGGAUCCGCGGUGGAGACUGUGGACUUGUGACCUGACACACCAUCAUGCCUUUCAAUUCUCGCAGCAAAGUUUACAUUCUGGGAUAUGCAGGCGUUGUCCUGGCAACCGUCGUUGGUUCCAUUGGACUGGGCGCUCCGGGCUGGUUCAUCGCAAGAAGUGACAUCAGCGAGUUGUUGACGGGUCUGUGGCAAGUUUGUGUCCAAGGUUUUUUGGUUUCCAGAGAAGUUCGUCUGUACUUACAUUGACUACGAAUCAUUAGACAAUUACCAAAAGGCCACCCAGGCUAUGGCGUGUAUUGGGGUGGCCCUCCUGAUUGCGUCUACUGUGUACGGACUGUUUGUCAAUGUAGUAUCCACAAAUUCGCCAUCGUCACCUUACGUUGAGAUCCUUGCCUUGUUGGGUGGUGUGAGCCUUUUUAUCGGCUGCAUGGUAUGGGUAGGUUAUAAGUACAACUUUUACUCCGAUCCAGGGGUCAGUUUGGGUUACGCCAUGAUAAUCUCUACUAUUGGCUCUGUCCUCGCUAUUCAGGCUUCUGUGUGUGUGGCAGUAGGAAGCCGGAGAAAUGGAUCCUACCAGCAAAUUCAAUAACAGUGUCACAAAAAUACACUACAAAGAAGUCUGCAAACUGUGCAAGCCUGUAAACCAGCAUUUCUGAAAAGGGUUUGAGAAGUGGACUCAGAUCAUCGUGAUGAUUGCAGAUCUGGCUUUUGUUCUUCGUGGAGGGCCCUAAGGUACGAUAACUCAGUGACCUUUCCGAAGACAGCCGAGUUGUUGGCCUUUUAUGGAGGCGUUCUUAGUUUCAUCGGCGCCGUUAUCUACGCUGUAAACACGAAGAGACUUGACGACACUGCCUAUGGUUUCGGGUUUUUCCUGGUCGCGGCGGCCGCCAUUGUGGGAGUGGCUGGAGGACUGGUGGUGGCCAAUCAGAACUGGACUGAGUGGAUAAAGGACCAAUCGUUGAGCAGCGAGGUCAACCACGGGGGCGCACUGGCAGAAUUCAACAUAUCCAGGCUGCAGAAGAUGAAUUCUAUUAAACCGAAGUAGGGGAGAGCAUUCACGCAGUUCUAAAAACUGUUAUAGUCAAGAAUUGCGAUGACUUUGUUCCUUCCAUUUCUCUCCUUCUGUCUGAAUAAUUUCUGUGUUUCGGUCCCACUUUUCAUUGUGUUCCGCACUUGUAUGUAAGUCUUGCUGGUUUUAAGUCCCAUCUCUCUCUCUCCGUACGCGUACAAAAUGCAAUUGUUUGUCAUUAUCAUUCCAGUGCUACUCGUUGAUUGCUAGACGUGUCGACAUUUUGAUGAUCAUUGUAUUCUACAUCCCAUGUUUCCAACACAGCUCUAAACAAUGUCCCUACCUAGGAUUUAAUGUUACCAACGCUGGGCAGCUGAAGUCUUUAAGAAUGAGUCGUUCUACUGUUAUACCAUUGAUGUCAGAAAUUAAUCCGGUGUAUAUAUAAUAUAAAUAUAGAAAUAAAUAUCUAAUUCUGCAUUGGGAGUGUGUACUCUGUACUAUAUAGCUUCAGUUAGAAGGAAUGUUUGAAGGUUUAUGUCAGUACUUCCUUACACAGAAUAGUUUCUUCUUCCCAAUUUGACAGCUCAGUCAAGUAUUAUCUGCCUUCUUAAUUAGAAACAUGGC